RNA transcript from Triplophysa rosa, 5541 nucleotides. It is a transcript of the gene named solute carrier family 22 member 4-like, with no coding region annotated. The transcript has 2 exons. Lineage: Eukaryota; Metazoa; Chordata; Actinopteri; Cypriniformes; Nemacheilidae. The record is from RefSeq and is a predicted model, not a curated record.
GUUGCCUUUUACGUCGUUUGGGUUGCCUUGUUGAGCGAAGUCGCACUGAGAACAUCAUAUUUCACACACUUUAAGCAAUUUUAUUUUAUUUUAGGAUUAGUCAAACGAACCGUUCGGUUUGUAAUGCGUUCCGAACUGAAAGCCUCGUACCGAACGAUUCAAUACGAAUACGCAUAUCGUUACACCACUAACAAACACAUAUCCGAGCAGGAAACCGCACACCCAGAGGCCGCAUUUAUUAUAACAGGGGACUUCAACAAAGCUAACUUGAGAAAAAUAGCUCCAUAAUAGUUUCAACAUAUCACCACAAACACACGUGGGGACUGUGUUAUGGAUCACUGCUGCUCUCCCUUCCGGGAUGGCUACAAAUCCCUCCCCGGCUCAUCUUUCGGCAAAUCAGAUCACGCUUCAGUUCUGCUCCUGCCCACUUACAGGCAGAGGCUAAAACUGGAAGUGCCAGCCCUAAGGACGAUUCACUGCUGGUUGGACCAAUCGGACUCUAUACUGCAAGACUGUUUUGAUCACGUUGACUGGGAAAUGUUCCGGGCUGCUUCUGAUGACGACAUCGAGGCUUACUCGGAUACCGUAACGUGCUUUAUCAGGAAGUGUAUAGAAGACGUGGUGCCGAAAAAACAAUCCGCAUCUACCCCAAUCAAAAACCGUGGAUUAAUGGCGAUGCUCUUCUCUUGGCUGACCCGAAGGCCCAGACGGUCUAGGUGUCGGAGCACGAGGUCCCUGUGCUUAAACAACACAUCUCAAGAUAAGCCAAGAUAAGCCAUUCGUCAAGAUAGUUGAGUAUCCGCACGCCUUGCUCCCUGAGGGGAGCUAAGGCAGCCUCUACGAGUUUGGUAAAAACCGGGGGAGACAGGGCCAGACCGAAGGGCAGGACCUUGUACUGAUACGCUACAACUUUGUUGCAAGACGGAUGUUAUGAUACACUGCUUUGCAAAAAGGCGGACGUUAAGUGACGUCAUUGUGAAAAGGGCGUAUUACGGAUUGCCUUCAGAUUUUUCCAUCACUGAUAAAAAAAAAAAGAAUUUUCAGUUAAUGUGAUCUCUGCAGCUGAGUGGCGCUUGAGCUGCUGAACUGUCCCGCUCUCUCUUAGCGCUAGCUAACUUUGAAAACUACUCACACUCCUUUAUGUGACUAACCUUUAAAUGUCUGAUGAGGUUGGUGGUUUUGGGUGCUUCCCGCCUCGUGGAAUUUGCUUGGUACACACGAUGCAGAUAGCGCGUAAAAAAAAAGUCUCGCGCAUUUUGCGUCAUCUGAUUGCAAGGCCUGAAGCAAGGUUUCUUUUCUUCUCUGUGCGGUUGCAUGCGGCAGAGGGAGAUUGAACAAUUUUUAAUAAAUACAUUGAAAACUCAACAUUUUCACAGUUGCGCCCCCUGUAAACACAUUUAAAGAUCUGGCGCCCCUCCCCCAAUGUACAUUGAGGAUAGGUUAGAUCAGGGGUCGGCAACCUAAGGCACGCGUGCCACUAUUGGCACGCCGAGGGAAAAUCAAUGGCACGCCAAGCACAUUUAGAUAAAUUAUGUAUUUAAUACAAAACUAGUGUUUGUGAAGUUUAAAAAAAUAUUGAACGCCUGGUCGUAUUCGCAUGACAAAUUGCCCGUUAAUCUGUAAUCGUAAUCAACAUCUUUUACAUAAAGUUGUCUGUGCUUUAGAGGUCACGUGUCAUCGAUUGUGUAGUUUGCGCUCACUGUGGUGCUGGACUUCAGACGAGGGUCACAAAUGGCUACUACGCAAAAGAAGGCAAAAACUGACGCUCGGUCAUUUCAGCCCUCUUGGAGAGAAGAAUUCGGUUUUGUUUUUCAAAAAGAUCGUGCCGUAUGCACUUUAUGUUUAGAAAAUGUUGUGUGCCGUACUUCCAGCGUUAAGCGCCAUUUUGAAACAAAACACGAAAAAUCCUUCAAAGAUCAGGCAGAUAAGGCAGAGUCCAUCAGACGCGCUGUCUCCAGUUAUGAGAAACAAACCGGCAGUCUUCGUGUUUUUACUAGAUUGAAAAAUAAUGCUUCUGAACCAAGUUACCGACUUGCUCAUUGCAUUGCGAAACACGGAAAGCCAUUCACUGACGGGGAGUACAUUAAGGAUGCUUUCCUCUCUAGCGCAGAGGUCUUGUUUGAUGGGUUACCUAACAAAGAGACUAUUAUAUCGAGAAUCAAAGAUAUUCCCAUGUCAGCCAGAACUGUUCAGAGACGCAUAGAAGAAAUGGCAGAAAGUGUCAAUGAGCAGCAAACAGCUGGGCUGAAGGAUGCAAUGGUGUUUAGUGUUGCGCUGGAUGAGAGUGUGGACAUAAAUGACAUACCACGUUUGGCAAUCAUGGCAAAAUAUUGUGAUUCGAAUGUAAGAGAGGAACUCUGUUGCUUAAAAUCAAUGACUGACACAACAAAAGGGGAAGACAUUGCCAAGGCAUUUUUUGAGCACUUUGAGGAGCGAGGGGUUGACAUCGGAAGAAUUUUUGCAAUUACAACAGAUGGAGCCCCUGCCAUGGUUGGCAAACAGAAAGGAGCUGUCAAAUUAAUUGAGGAAAAAGUGGGUCACCCCAUUAUGAAAUUACACUGCAUAAUACACCAAGAGAACCUGUGUGCAAAAAUGUCAAAUUCAGAUCUUAAUAGCGUUAUGGCUACGGUUGUAAAGAUCGUUAAUUUCAUAGUUAAGCGAUCUUCCCUCACACACCGACAGUUCCAGUCCCUUCUCGAGGAAAUGGACUGCACGUACAAAGAUAUCCCUCUCCACUCGGCGGUUAGAUGGUUAAGCUGUGGUAAAGUUCUGGAGAGAUUUGUUGGCUGCUUUGACAGUAUUAAAGCCUUCCUAGCUGAAAAAGACCAAGUCUACACUGAACUCGAAGAUGAGACGUGGGUUUUGAAAGUCAUGUUUCUCACUGAUAUCACAGGCCACUUGAACGAGCUAAAUCUCCGACUCCAAGGUGCAGAACACACCAUUUUGAACAUGUUCGAAACAUGGGCUGCGUUUAUUGACAAGCUGGCAGUUUUCUCAAGGGAUAUCGCUACCUCCACAUUCCGAUAUUUCAAACAUGUACGGGAGCUGUCCGCGCAGUGCAGCGUUAACACGAGUGAGAUAUCCAAAUACAUGUCCGAACUCGAAUUGGAGUUCACAACACGUUUUGGGGACUUUCGGAAAUAUGGACCAAUGUUCCCUUUUUUGAUUAAGCCUGCGAGCUUCGAUGGACACGAAUUCGAUGCAUCUCUGAUAGAGUGGAUGGAUACACAGGACAUGGAAAUGCAGCUAAUUGAGCUCAAGAGUUCAGCACUCUGGGUGACAAAAUUUGCAGAACUCCGCAAGGAGUUGGAAACCACAGCAGUGAACAAUCAGGGAUCUUGCAUUUUUACAUGCUGGGCAUCAUUGCCAGAAAAAUUCUGCUGUCUCAAAAGAGUUGCUUUGGGUUUGCUGACGGUUUUCGGAUCGACAUACCUCUGCGAGCAAAUAUUUUCACACAUGAACAAUGUGCUUUGUCCCUCUCGCAAUCGCUUGACUGUUGAUCAUUCCGAAGCAUGCGUGAAACUUAAGGUGACGCACUACGCUCCCAAGAUAACAGAGCUCAGCAAAGGAAAACAGGACCAGGGCUCACACUAACUGGUAUUUAUAAGUACUGUACAUCUGUUUAAUCUUGCAUUAGCCUACACUGGGCCAUGCUGGUAUUCCUUGGCUUAACACUGAAAAGCAGCAUUAAAACGUGAUUCCAGUACUAUUUGUUUUCCAAACUCUUGCUGCUCUGCUUUUUGUUCUAUAAAAAUGUUUUAUAUACAUAUGUAACAGUUUCAGUUAUUAAAGAAAUAUGUGCAAAUACGUGUUUUUAAAAAUAAAGAUGGUAACUAUAACACAUGUGAAAAAGCAGCAUUAGAACUGGAUUCCAAUACUAUUUGUGUUUUAUACUCUUGCUGUCUUACUUUCAAAGGAGCAAAAUGUUUUGUAUAAACAGUUUCAAUUUUUAAAGAAAUCUGUGCAAUUUUGUUUUAUUGAAAAAUAAAGAUGAUAGUCUAUUCAAAAUGUUUCUUUUUCUGUUUUGUGUUUUAUAGCCAUAUAGUAUAAGUAUACGAAUAGUGUCAAUCUAAAAAAUAAUAAUAUUGUGGUACAAUUACAUGUAAUACUAAACGUUGAUGUUAAAAUGGCACAGUGGUUGCCAUGAAAAAAAUAAAUGGCACAGCACUUCAAAAAGGUUGCCGACCCCUGGGUUAGAUAAUCUGUAUAAUGGUGUGGUGUGGUGUCAUUUUCCUGUGAAAAAAAGUGUUUUACAUAUGUAGAUAUCAGCUUUAAUGCGCAGCCUAAAAUCGCAUUGCGCGGGACCUAUAACGAGUCUGCACGGCCCUCACGCAUGCAGCUUCAGGCAGAACAUUGCCCUCCGUCAAUUUGCAGUCGCGUUCCUCCGUGCUUUCGUGAUAGAGUUCCGAAGGUUGGGUUUUCGGGGAACCGUUGCGGCCCACCUGCACAACCUCUGAGCCCCCUGGUUGAGAACCACUACUCUACCGAGUUAGUUUGACUCGGUUUAUUAGUGUUAAACGUAAACUAACACAUCAAGCAUUUAUGUUACACAUAAUGUAACAUCAAAUCUUUUAAUUAACAAUUUGUUAACAUUUAAUGUAGCUGUUUCUCUUUAUCAUGCAGUUCUAUAAUUGCAGUCAUGGCCUAAUGGUUAGAGAGUCGGACUCGUGACCAGAAGGUUGCCGGUUCGAUUCUCAGGGUCGGCGGGUAACGACUGAGGAGCAAGGCACCUUACCCCUACUUGCUCCCCAGGCGCUGCAGUGAUAGCUGCUCACUACUCCGGGUGACUUGCUGUGCGUGUUAACUACUCUCUGGAUGGGUUAAAUGCAGAGGUCACAUUUCGGGUAUGGGUCACCAUAUCUGACAAAUAGGUCACUUCACUUCAUAUUACAAGAUUUCAUGCAUUUCAAGUAUUGUGUCAGCUUUCAUCUAGCUUUCCUGUAGCUCAGUGGUUAGAGCAUGGCGCUAGCAACGCGAAGGUCAUGGGUUCGAUUGCACAUACAAAUUUAUAGUAUAAUGCAAUGUAAGUCGCUUUGUACAAAAUAAUCUGCCAAAUGCAUAAAUGUAAAUGUGUUGGGUCAUUUUCUGUAAGGACAAACUGGCAGAUAUUACAACUGAAGUUAAACUCUACUGAAGCAAUGGAAGGUCUUUAAUAAAACAUGUAAUUUAUUGUACCUACACUGACUUUUUAUUUGAGAAGCAGUGCUUUAGAAAUCAGAUUUUGGUUCCAGAUGACAUGGAUACAUUUCAGACCAUAGCUAUGGCUAUGGUCUUAUGACUCUCCAUAUUAAGAUGGCUAAUAUUUUCUUAGCUGUAGACAUCAGGUGGUCUUGCUUACCCUGCUGUUUGGUUUUGGAUUUUAAAACGUUUCCAUUGCUGUGUACUAAAAGCUGUUUGUUGUAACACGUGCACUGCAGUCAGUGGAAAAAACUGGAAGGUUGCAGACCUACAGCCUCUGUGACCUGGUGAAGUCUACCAACAUCCGCUGCAUUACUCUCCUGCUGUGCCUGGUCUGGUCAUCUGUUUCCAUUGGAUACUGUG